Molecule: ribosomal RNA, 636 nt
Filed under: Mannheimia haemolytica
Lineage: Bacteria; Pseudomonadati; Pseudomonadota; Gammaproteobacteria; Pasteurellales; Pasteurellaceae
Description: bacterial SSU rRNA
Source: RNAcentral
CUUAUGGAGGGGGAUAACUACUGGAAACGGUAGCUAAUACCGCGUAAUGUUUUAGGAGUAAAGGGUGGGACCAUUGGGCCACCUGCCAUAAGAUGAGCCCAAGUGGGAUUAGGUAGUUGGUGAGGUAAAGGCUCACCAAGCCCGCGAUCUCUAGCUGGUCUGAGAGGAUGACCAGCCACACUGGAACUGAGACACGGUCCAGACUCCUACGGGAGGCAGCAGUGGGGAAUAUUGCACAAUGGGGGGAACCCUGAUGCAGCCAUGCCGCGUGAAUGAAGAAGGCCUUCGGGUUGUAAAGUUCUUUCGGUGACGAGGAAGGGGAUUGUUUUAAUAGANCAGUUCAUUGACGUUAAUCACAGAAGAAGCACCGGCUAACUCCGUGCCAGCAGCCGCGGUAAUACGGGGGGUGCGAGCGUUAAUCGGAAUAACUGGGCGUAAAGGGCACGCAGGCGGKKKUUUAAGUGAGKUGUGAAAKCCCCGGGCUUAACCUGGGAAUUGCAUUUCAGACUGGGCAUCUAGAGUACUUUAGGGAGGGGUAGNNUUCCACGUGUAGCGGUGAAAUGCGUAGAGAUGNGGAGGNNUACCGAAGGCGAAGGCAGCCCCUUGGGAAUGUACUGACGCUCAUGUGCGAAAGCG